ACUGCAUGUAUACGUCGCCCUUCCGUGGGUUUUGUGGUAAAACUAUGUACACAUGCUAUAACGCCAUAUAGUCCUACCUCCGUCUUGAAUAGGCUGGACAAUAUCGAAGUUUUCUAGCAUAGUGAACCAAUAAUAUAGCCUACAUGCCGCUAUCCAUCAUGGAAGAAGGACGAUUAGCCAACAGUAUUGAACUGGAAUAAAGGAGUCGUCACAUUUAGUCACGAAUCGUGAUCACGAUAUUUCCUCAAGCUCAUGGUGCGCGAGUAACAUAUAUCAACCGCGUUCGUGACCUAGUUCUAUGAUGAGGCAUUUUAUCAUUGUGCAGGCUGCUCACGCUCCCCAACGCCUAACCAAAAGCUGAAGGGAGCCGGUUUCUAUCACUUUGACUUUGGCGCUCUUGUAUCUUAUUUUCUUUUCUUUUCUUCUCCACUUCUUUGCAUAAUCAACACCCAGUAUUUUUAAAUUGCAACGCGUGAAAUCAUUCAAGGAUUCACGAACAGCUACCUACGGUCUACUCAUCCAAAUUAUUCUUCUAGCGAGAAAAAGUUUCUCGUGAAAAGCACGCACCGGAACUUUUUUUGUGCCACUAAAAAAAAGAGACAGAGAGAGAUCAAUAAAUAACCAUCAACGAUCAAGCGAUUAACUAAAAAGAAGUCGAUGGUGUUAUAUAAGAAACACACAUUAUCGACAGGCUUGGCUGGCGAAAUUCUACAUUUUCUUUUUUUUUUUUCAAUUAUAUUGUAUUGAUCGUUAUAAUUUCAUUUUUAUUUUCACCGAGUCUGACUGGGAUAUUUCUUUGAUAUCGUGUACAUACCCGUAUAUAAUUAAAGGCUAAGUAACGCUCGUUAAACCUAAAAUACACGAUGGGAUGAUGAUCUUGUAAACUUUUUUCAGUGGUUAUUUCCGCCGAAAGAAAAUUGCGGAGAAGUAGUGCAUAAAAUUGUAGGCUCCAAGGGUGUUUUUCCUUCAUUUUCAGCUUUUCCCUUUGCAAUAAGUAAUAAGUCUUGAGAAAGAAAAAGAAAAGGAAAA
Daphnia pulicaria is the source of this 1029-nucleotide long non-coding RNA. RefSeq lists it as uncharacterized. Lineage: Eukaryota; Metazoa; Arthropoda; Branchiopoda; Diplostraca; Daphniidae. The record is from RefSeq and is a predicted model, not a curated record. The transcript has 3 exons.